RNAcentral lists this ribosomal RNA (253 nucleotides) under uncultured bacterium. Its description in RNAcentral is "partial 16S ribosomal RNA". It matches the Rfam family "Bacterial small subunit ribosomal RNA", at positions 524 to 776 of the family's 1533-position model. The record is from RNAcentral.
UACAGAGGUCUCAAGCGUUGUUCGGAUUUACUGGGCGUAAAGGGCGCGUAGGCGGCGUGGUAAGUCACUUGUGAAAUCUCUGAGCUUAACUCAGAACGGCCAAGUGAUACUGCUGUGCUCGAGUGUGGAAGGGGCAAUCGGAAUUCUUGGUGUAGCGGUGAAAUGCGUAGAUAUCAAGAGGAACACCUGAGGUGAAGACGGGUUGCUGGGCCAACACUGACGCUGAGGCGCGAAAGCCAGGGGAGCAAACGGG